CAAUAGCGUAUAUUAAAGCUGUUGCGGUUAAAAAGCUCGUAGUUGGAUUUCUGUCAAGUACAACUGGUCCGCCCUCCGGGUGAGCACAUAGUUUGGUCUUGGCAUCUUGCUGGAAAUUGUUGCUGCACUUGGCUGUGUGGCACAGUGUCCAGCACUUUCACUUUGAGGAAAUUGGAGUGUUUCAAGCAGGCAAUGCCUUUGAACACAGUAGCAUGGAAUAAUUAGAUUGGGCUUUUGCUCCAAUUUGUCGGUUUCUGGAGCUGAGGUGAGAAUUAAUGGGGAUUGUUGGGGGCAUCCGAAUUUAGCCGUCAGAGGUGAAAUUCUUGGAUCGGCUAAAGACGGACAACUGCGAAAGCGUUUACCCAGGAUGUUUUCAUUGA
This 380-nucleotide ribosomal RNA is filed under the name uncultured eukaryote. Its description in RNAcentral is "partial 18S ribosomal RNA". It matches the Rfam family "Eukaryotic small subunit ribosomal RNA", at positions 592 to 976 of the family's 1831-position model. The record is from RNAcentral.